UACGGGGGGGGCAAGCGUUGUUCGGAAUUACUGGGCGUAAAGGGCUCGUAGGCGGCCGGCUAAGUCCGACGUGAAAUCCCCAGGCUUAACCUGGGAACUGCGUCGGAUACUGGCAGGCUUGAAUCCGGGAGAGGGAUGCGGAAUUCCAGGUGUAGCGGUGAAAUGCGUAGAUAUCUGGAGGAACACCGGUGGCGAAGGCGGGUCUCUGGGCCGAUUCUGACGCUGAGGAGCGAAAGCGUGGGGAGCGAACAGG
This 253-nucleotide ribosomal RNA is filed under the name uncultured bacterium. RNAcentral's name for it is "partial 16S ribosomal RNA". It matches the Rfam family "Bacterial small subunit ribosomal RNA", at positions 524 to 776 of the family's 1533-position model. The record is from RNAcentral.